This 353-nucleotide long non-coding RNA is filed under the name Callithrix jacchus (white-tufted-ear marmoset). Its description in RNAcentral is "lncRNA (ENSCJAG00000082987.1)". Lineage: Eukaryota; Metazoa; Chordata; Mammalia; Primates; Cebidae. The record is from RNAcentral.
ACAGAUGACAGGGACCAUGAGCCUGGUUGGGCAGUGUCCAGAUCCACAGGCUUUGUCAUCCCAGUGCCAGAAGCUGCGCCUGAUUGUUCUGUGUUUACAAAAGCAGCACCGUAUUCUGUCCUGGAGAGAUAAAAUGUGGUAACAGCCUUAAAAUCCUGCAGCCUCCUCCAUGAUUUGUAUGUUGAGAGAAAGGUAAUUUCCAAAAUGCUGAUAUGGAAAAGCACUUUUAUGCUUAUGCCCUGCUUCCAGGACUCAGCCAGGUCUCAUACAUAUGUUAACAAGAUAUGGUCCAAACUACAUCCCAGGGAGGCAAGCGCCAAAUUGACUAGCCUCUGGUGUUCCUGGAAGCUGCA